Long non-coding RNA from Lactuca sativa (garden lettuce), 914 nucleotides. RefSeq lists it as uncharacterized. NCBI's taxonomy places the organism in Eukaryota, Viridiplantae, Streptophyta, Magnoliopsida, Asterales, Asteraceae. The record is from RefSeq and is a predicted model, not a curated record.
AAAAGAUUAAGCAUAAAGAAACACAUAUGGAUAUGGACCUUUUUUUUGUUUACAUGCCUCCCUCUUUCUCAGACCUAAAAGCGCCGCUCUCUUCUUCUUCCUCGCUAAAUCUCGAUUCAAAAUUUGAAUUCUACAUGCUCCUUUCUGAAAAUCCUAACGCGAUGAAAUCACCGAUUUUCUUCACCACAGUUGUGGAUAUUUUUUUCACCCGAAGACCGACAUAUCCAAAUUAUUUGGUUAACGGCAUCCUGACCUAUUGUCGCUGCAAUUCUGGUGGAUUGAGAUCAGAAUAUAUCACUUACAAAUCGAAGUACCUAGAUUGACAAUUUUCACGAAACAAAAGGCAAACACACUCAUAUUUGCAGAGAGGGGUUUGGAAUGCGCAAAAACAUGGAGUUUGUAAGAAGCUUGCGAGGAAAGUUGGAUCCAAUCACCGGUUUUUGGCACUCUUGCAGAAAAUUCUAACGCUUCACACAUAUGUUGAUAGAUUCCAUCCAGUAGGAGAGGGAUUCAUGACUGAAAAAUGGUGUAUAAAUCAAAAUCAAACGGAUGCAAAUGAGUAUGGAAUGAGUAAGAGCGAACCAAAGACAUCGAUGUUUCUCUUCUCUAUGGGGUCUAUGAUAUCAAACCUAUAUGUAUUCAAGACCUAUUUCAAAUAUACUAAUCGACUACAAUAUCACAUGGUUAAAGCUUGUAUACUUAAGCCAAUGACAUACAUUGUACUGGUUUGACCCUUGAAAGAGAACAAGAAGAAGAUUAAGUUAGCAUUUUAAAGUUACAUGUUCUAUAAUAUAGGUUAAAUUUAAGGUUUGUAAUUAAUAUUUUGAGUUAACAUUUUAAAGUACGACUUCUUUUUUAAUUCCUUGGUGGUUGUAUAUAUGAUAUUUAGAAUAAAGACUUCAUCUCUUUAUAUA